Molecule: ribosomal RNA, 495 nt
Filed under: uncultured bacterium
Lineage: Bacteria
Description: partial 16S ribosomal RNA
Rfam family: Bacterial small subunit ribosomal RNA
Source: RNAcentral
GAUGAACGCUGGCGGCGUGCCUAAUACAUGCAAGUCGAGCGAACAGACGAGGAGCUUGCUCCUCUGACGUUAGCGGCGGACGGGUGAGUAACACGUGGAUAACCUACCUAUAAGACUGGGAUAACUUCGGGAAACCGGAGCUAAUACCGGAUAAUAUAUUGAACCGCAUGGUCCAAUAGUGAAAGACGGUUUUGCUGUCACUUAUAGAUGGAUCCGCGCCGCAUUAGCUAGUUGGUAAGGUAACGGCUUACCAAGGAAACGUUGCGUAGCCGACCUGAGGGGGGUUCCGGCCCCCCUGGAACGGGAACACGGCCAAACCCCCUCGGGGGGGCAGCAGUGGGAAACCUUCCGAGAUGGGCAAACCCCUGACGGGGCACCCCCGGGUGAGUGAAGAGGGUUUUCGGAUGGUAAACCUCUUUUUUUAGGGAAAAAAAAAUGUGUAAGUACCUAUGCCCGUUUUGACGGUACCUAAAAAAAAACCCCCGGCAAACUACG